Molecule: ribozyme, 81 nt
Filed under: Oreochromis niloticus (Nile tilapia)
Lineage: Eukaryota; Metazoa; Chordata; Actinopteri; Cichliformes; Cichlidae
Description: drz-agam-1 ribozyme
Rfam family: drz-agam-1 ribozyme
Source: Rfam by way of RNAcentral
GGCUGGCAAAACCCCAUCACCACCUCCUCGUGGUGCCAGCUGGGAACAACGACCCAUUGAGAAGCUGGCCAACAGUGUGGG